AAUCUUGCGCAAUGCGCGAAAGCGUGACGCAGCAACGCCGCGUGGGGGAAGACGGCCUUCGGGUUGUAAACCUCUUUCAGUUGGGACGAAGCCUCGUCGGUUAAUAGCCGGCCGAGGUGACGGUACCUUCAGAAGAAGCCCCGGCUAACUACGUGCCAGCAGCCGCGGUAAUACGUAGGGGGCGAGCGUUGUCCGGAUUUAUUGGGCGUAAAAGGCUUGUAGGUGGCCACGCCAAGUCGGGUGUGAAAUCUCCCGGCUCAACUGGGAGGGGUCAUUCGAUACUGGCGGGCUCGAGGCCGGUAGGGGGAAGUGGAAUUCCCGGUGUAGUGGUGGAAUGCGUAGAUAUCGGGAGGAACACCAGUGGCGAAGGCGGCUUCCUGGACCGGUUCUGACACUGAGGAGCGAAAGCGUGGGGAGCGAU
Molecule: ribosomal RNA, 421 nt
Filed under: uncultured bacterium
Lineage: Bacteria
Description: bacterial SSU rRNA
Rfam family: Bacterial small subunit ribosomal RNA
Source: RNAcentral